GGGGGACUACGUGCAGAUGAGAGAAAGGGAAAUAAAUUACCAACACAUCAUGAGGGCUGCAAAUGUGUCUGUGGUGGUGGGGUGCACAUGAAAGAUUGUGGGGGUCAUGUGUUGCUGUGACUUCAUAACAAUGCAGGGUGUUGGUUUGCUUUCUGAUGUGAUGGACAUAACAUGGCUAAGUUCCCUCUUACUAGGGGUUGGUUGUUUUGCUUUGGGAUACCUCAUCAGUGUACGGCAUCUUGCUCACAUAUUUGUUUCGGGUAGAGUAGCUAAAGACAGCUCAGUUGUGGAUGGAAACAAGAAGAAUCAGCCCAAAGAACCUCUUGAGAUUGAAAUGCUGGCAGACAUUCUUGAUGAUUUCAAAAUGGUUUUGGUUGUGAGGAAUGACUUGAAGAUGGGGAAAGGAAAGAUUGCUGUGCAAUGCAGUCAUGCAACUUUGGGUCUCUAUAACAAGCUCCUUCACUGGGCACCCAAAGCUUUGAACAGGUGGGAGAUGUGUGGGCAGGUUAAGGUGGUUGUGAAAAUUGAAAAUGAGGAAGAUUUGCUAGUUUUACAAGAAAGGGCAAAAGCACUGAACUUACCGACACAUAUUGAUGAUGGGCGAACACAAAUAGCACCAAGUUUUGUGGAUGUUGGAACUUGCCUAGAGCCAUUGUUGUACUCUUUUUAAGAGCCAUUGUUGUACUCUUUAUAUUGAUUGAUGAAUGCGGAGUUGGAUUUAUGUUUAAAUCGAUUCCAAAAUGAUGCGAGUAUGGUUGCAAAAAAAAUCUGAGUACAUGCUUUCAGAAGAAGUAGUCUAAAGAUUCAAGGACAGUAAUGGCUAUCCUUGGACCUGCUGACAUGGUUGAUGAGGUAACAGGUGGACUGAAGCUUUUGUAGUGACUGCUACAUUUCGGAGGUUAUAUAUAUAUAUCUUACUGCAAUGAGCAUUUGGUGGUAGAGUUCCGGGAUCUCAACAUUCUGGCUAUAGCAUUACGAAAUCUACUCUCUUGAUAGGAAAAUGGACACUGGAUUACUGUGUUUUUGCUAUCAUUUGUGAUGAUGAUGAUAAGUUUUUGUUAUGAACGCAUCCUCAGUUACGAAAUCUAGUCUCUUUAUAGGAAAAUGGACACUGGAUUACUGUCUUUUUGCUUUCAUUUGUGAUCAUGAUGAUAAGUUUUUGUUAUGAACUCA
Camellia sinensis is the source of this 1173-nucleotide non-coding RNA. The record is from RefSeq and is a predicted model, not a curated record. Lineage: Eukaryota; Viridiplantae; Streptophyta; Magnoliopsida; Ericales; Theaceae.